Molecule: long non-coding RNA, 2228 nt
Filed under: Penaeus japonicus
Lineage: Eukaryota; Metazoa; Arthropoda; Malacostraca; Decapoda; Penaeidae
Description: uncharacterized LOC122250461
Source: RNAcentral
CCGAUUUCAACCCUGAAUAUACUGCAAAACUUGAAUAUCUUAGUGCAUGAAUGGAAUUCCAUGUUAACAUGUGUUGUAAUAUGGCCAAAAUUCAUGCAAAAGUAGCUGCAUAAAUGCAUGUAAAUUUUCCUUGUUUUGGGAAAGUGGUCAUACACAUUGUGCGACAAUAGAUAUGGUAAAUACUGUUGAAAGAAGCUACUACCAUUUCGGUAUUUGCAUGUGUUCAUAAAUUUAUUUAAUUUGUCUGACAGAAAGGUUGUGGUCCAGUACAUUGAAAAAGUGGAGAAAGUCUAGAGCAAGAGCAUUGGGGUAACAAAAGCUUGAACCUACAAGAUUGGAUACAUGAUGGAAGUCUUUUGAAUGGGAAGGAAUGAUCUUGCCAAGAACUGAAUUAUUAGUGGCUUUGGAUAUCCAAUUUUAAGGCUAUAAAAAGCAGUUUAGAGGUUGGGUAGACGCAACAUAAUCAUCCCUAUUCAGAAGAUUUCAUGGAUUGCAGUUUUAUAUUUGAACUGCUUCAUUUAAGGAAAUGCUGACAAAUGACUGACAGAUUCAGAGUAAUAAGCAUUCAUGAUGGUCAAAACUUGAUGAAUAAUUAACCCAUUCACACCGGGGCUAUUCCGGCUCUAAAUGGUCUGAAUGCCAGGGUUUUCAAACGCAUAAGCCUAACGCCUUGGGAUUCGCGGGCGCACUAACCACAAGCCUGGGCUGUCCCUCACUCGCCUGCCGUGCAGGUCUUGACUAAAUAUCUCAUCACCCGCGUCUGACCCAAAAACCACAACGUGAUGGCAUGUCAUCCAGCGCGAAUGGGUUAAGAAGGCUAUGGUACCAGUUUUUGCUGAUAAUGGCAAAAUGCAAAGUUGGGAUCCAUGUGUCUGCAUGAGUUGUCUGCAGUAUGCUUUUAUUUUGAAGUCGUAUGACAAAUUUCAAGUAGUAUAUCGCAAUGAGUUAAGCUAUGCACUUUUGCUGUGGCUGUGUAUUGAUUUCAAAGAUUUUGGAUUCUGAAAUGACAUCGAAUUGCCUGCUGCAAAUUACUUGGCUGCUUUUAGGACAAAUCAGAUUAGUUUCCAAGCUGUCUCCCCCUGGUCUAUGUGUUAACCACUGGAGAUUUGUGAAAUCAACAUGCAGUUGGAAAUGAGCUUGCCUUUCAUGGAUAACUAUUUUAAAGAUUAUUGCUUCUCCAUGAUUUGUAGAAUUCUUCCAAAACCUCAGGUAAGAUGUUUUGAUUAUAGGUUACCAUCUUUUUUUGAAAAUUGCAUUGUACCUUUACCUAAUUGAUAUCCCAAGCAUAAAACAUUGAGUUUCUGAUAAGUAUGGAAUAGUCUUCAUCUUCACUACCCCACUGAAAGUUAAACCACCACAGGCAGUAAUUAUUGACAAAUGCAUUUGUUCCUUGCCAUAUGAUGGCUGUUUGUGUUUUUUGCUUAUCAAUUUGCUGUAGGUCUUUUUUUUUUUUCUUCUUCUUCCAAACAUACCACAGGUUUUGACAAUUUGUAUUUUGAACUAAUUUGAAUAUGGUCUGAACUUUAUAGUUAAAAAAUAAAUAGCAUCUAGAAGUUGAUACAUUAUCUAAAUGUUGAUGUAAGUACUACCAAAAAUUGCAUUUUAAAAAUUCUCGACCCUUAAACCUCCUUUUUCUGCAUGCUUGCUUUCUUGCUGAUUAAUACACAUGUUUGAUAUUGCAGUUAUUGGUAAUAUAAAUAACUAUUGUAGGGGAAUGCUACAUAAACAACCAUCAGUUUGCGGUCAUGCAGGAGAACUGCCUGUUAGCCAGUAAAUAUCAAUUAAAUUUUUUAAAUAUAGAUGAGGCAUGUAUAAGAUGGCUAGAUUCAAGCUUUUUUAUGGGUAGGUUAAGAGACCUUGACUUUGUACAGGUAGUGUAAACAUGAAUGUUGGUGAAAGCUGGAUAAAAAGUCGGCUGGAUGUAUGUAUGUAUGUAUGUAUAGAUAAUAGCAUAUCUCCAACUUCAGUGAAACAAUAGUUAUGUAUAAUAGCUUCUCCCAAUGGGGGAGAAUAAAAUUAGUGAAAUAGCCUCAAAGAAUAGUGAAGAGUAUACAUGAUAUUAACCCAUUCCUGACGGGCCUGUGUAAUAUUGCAUCGGGAACGUCACACUAGUGUGUCGCACAGUUAUCAUAGGGUAAAGGGCAAAUGGUAAGUGAAAAUACCAAGUGUCAAGAAUAAUUGAUUUUCAAAGUUUUUCUUUGAUUUUCUCUCUCUCUCUCUCUCUCUCU